This 229-nucleotide unclassified non-coding RNA is filed under the name Penaeus japonicus. Its description in RNAcentral is "polyubiquitin-B-like, transcript variant X5". The record is from RNAcentral. Lineage: Eukaryota; Metazoa; Arthropoda; Malacostraca; Decapoda; Penaeidae.
CCGUCUAGCGUUCACAAGAGAGUUCCCUGCGGCAGUGACUGAAAAGCAUCGACUGGAGAGUUUGUUUUCAUACAAAUACUCACAUAAUGAGCACAAUGGUGGUACACGUAAAAACGCUGACUGGGAAGACGGUAACCAUAGACAUAAACCCUCAAGAUACCGUAGAGGUAUUAAAAGCAAUAUUAGAAGAUAGAGAAGGUAUAUCAGCUGACCAACAGCGGAUCAUCUA